This is a non-coding RNA of Microcebus murinus (gray mouse lemur), 1462 nucleotides long. Lineage: Eukaryota; Metazoa; Chordata; Mammalia; Primates; Cheirogaleidae. The record is from RefSeq and is a predicted model, not a curated record.
AUGUGAGUGCAUGUGAUUUAUAUGGAUAAGCAUAUCCAUUUAUUUUAUGGUUUUAUCCAGCAAAGGAAUUUAACAUAAAAAGAAACUUCUAUGAGGUAAGCAAUCAGUCAAAGGAGUUUUAAACACAAGUGAAGGAAUGGGAACCAAGAAUUCGGAAGAAAAAUGAAUCCAUGAAUGAUGAUCUGUGAUGGUGAUGAUGUCAUAAUGGUGAUGAUGUCAUAAUGGUGAUGAUGUCAUAAUGGCGAUGGUGUCAUUCCACCUGACUUUUCAUCACCCUGUCCUCUCCACUUCUUAUGUUCAUCCACUGAAAUGUCCCCAGGGCCCAAGGCCAUGGUGAAGAGGAAACUUCCCAAGACAGACAUUGAAUGCAAAAAGUCAUAGUACAUGGAGUGGUGGAAAGCUCAGUGGUUCUCAACAGGUGCCAUCUUGCCUCCGGAGGACACCUGGCAAUAUCUGAAGACACUUGUGGUCGUGACAACUUGAGUUGGGAGGGGAGUGUUCAUGGCAUCUCAUGAGUACGGGUAAGAUACGCUGCUCAACUUCUGUGCUCAGAGACAUCUCCCUACUACAAAGAAUGAUCUGGCCCCAAAUGCCAAGGAUAAGCUCCAUCGGAGGCACGGGCAACCAAAACGGGCUCAGGUUGGACAGGACGCUUGACCACGAUGGGGAUGCCACGUGGGCUGAAGAAUCUGCCAGCAAAGGUGUUGUUUCAAAAGGACUCUACUCCGAUUGUAGACCUUAAGACCCUCAUUGCAGAGAGGGGCCCACCCAGACCCUGGAGUAUGCUGCACAACAGACCAGGAAGAAUCUGGACAGGCCUUGCUGGGCUUAGAUUAGGCGCUUUUGUCCCAUCACAUUCCUACGUGGUUGUCAAUCAUGCCUAUGUAAUAAAGCCUCCAUAACACCCCCAAAGGACAGGGUUUGGGGCACGUCCAGAUAGCUGAACGCCCAGGGAGGGCAUGGAAGCUCCACGCCCCUUCCCCUAUACCUCGCCCUACACAUCUCUGCAUAUGCAUCCUUUGUAACGCCCUUUAUAAUAAACCAGUAAACAUAAAAACCAGGCUGGCCAUGCGAGGAUAGAAUGAGAAGGUGGCCGUCUGUAACCCAAGGGGAGAGCCCUCACCAGACACCACCCCUGCCGCCACCUUGAACUUGGCCUUCCCAGCCUCCAGAACUGGGAGAAAAUAAAUUUCUCUUGCCUAAGCCACCUAGUCUGUGGCAUUUUGUUAUAGCAGCCAGAGCUGAUGACUAUAGGGUCCCAAAUCCCGGCUCCUUUGACUCUAGGUAGGACCAGCCCUGGGAUAUAAUUUAUGCCUCGGGACUACCUGCUGGAUCAAUCUGAGUUUGGGACUUCACCUGACAUUACGUCCUUAUUUGGCUUCUGCCAUUUCUCUGUCCUGCUUUCUGCACCCCCUUACCGGUUACUCAGGGAAAGCUUCGUAAUAAAUCCCUUGCACCUGAA